Molecule: transfer RNA, 84 nt
Filed under: Paludibacteraceae bacterium
Lineage: Bacteria; Pseudomonadati; Bacteroidota; Bacteroidia; Bacteroidales; Paludibacteraceae
Description: tRNA-Ser
Rfam family: tRNA
About the family: Transfer RNA (tRNA) molecules are approximately 80 nucleotides in length. Their secondary structure includes four short double-helical elements and three loops (D, anti-codon, and T loops).
Source: RNAcentral
GGAGAGAUGGCAGAGUGGUCGAUCGCGACGGUCUUGAAAACCGCUGUACUGAAAGGUACCGGGGGUUCGAAUCCCUCUCUCUCC